RNAcentral lists this ribosomal RNA (403 nucleotides) under uncultured Ilumatobacter sp. RNAcentral describes it as "bacterial SSU rRNA". It matches the Rfam family "Bacterial small subunit ribosomal RNA", at positions 355 to 774 of the family's 1533-position model. The record is from RNAcentral. Lineage: Bacteria; Bacillati; Actinomycetota; Acidimicrobiia; Acidimicrobiales; Ilumatobacteraceae.
UGGGGAAUAUUGCACAAUGGGCGCAAGCCUGAUGCAGCAACGCCGCGUGCGGGAAGAAGGCCUUAGGGUUGUAAACCGCUUUCAGCAGGGAAGAAAAUGACGGUACCUGCAGAAGAAGGAGCGGCCAACUACGUGCCAGCAGCCGCGGUGACACGUAGGCUCCAAGCGUUGUCCGGAUUUAUUGGGCGUAAAGAGCUCGUAGGCGGUUUAGUAAGUCGGGUGUGAAAACUCAGGGCUUAACCCUGAGACGCCACUCGAUACUGCUAUGACUUGAGUACGGUAGGGGAGUGGGGAAUUCCUGGUGUAGCGGUGAAAUGCGCAGAUAUCAGGAGGAACACCAGUGGCGAAGGCGCCACUCUGGGCCGUAACUGACGCUGAGGAGCGAAAGCGUGGGUAGCAAACA